AGUAGCGAAGUUCCUGAUGUCACACUGCCAAGAAAAGCUUCUAGUGAGAAAGUAACUGCCCGUACCGCAAACCGACACAGGUAGUUGAGGAGAGAAUCCUAAGGUGUGCGAGAGAACUCUCGUUAAGGAACUCGGCAAAAUGACCCCGUAACUUCGGGAGAAGGGGUGCUGACCGCAAGGUCAGCCGCAGUGAAUAGGCCCAAGCGACUGUUUAUCAAAAACACAGGUCUCUGCAAAAUCGAAAGAUGACGUAUAGGGGCUGACGCCUGCCCGGUGCUGGAAGGUUAAGAGGAGAGGUUAGCGCAAGCGAAGCUUUGAAUUGAAGCCCCAGUAAACGGCGGCCGUAACGAUAACGGUCCUAAGGUAGCGAAAUUCCUUGUCGGGUAAGUUCCGACCCGCACGAAAGGCGUAACGAUUUGGGCACUGUCUCAACGAGAGACUCGGUGAAAUUAUAGUACCAGUGAAGAUGCUGGUUACCCGCGACAGGACGGAAAGACCCCAUGGAGCUUUACUGCAGUUUGAUAUUGCGUGUUUGUAUCACAUGUACAGGAUAGGUAGGAGCCGAAGAUACCGGGACGCCAGUCUCGGAGGAGGCAACGGUGGGAUACUACCCUUGUGAUAUGACCACUCUAACCCGCUGCUCUUAGCGAGCAGGGAGACAGUGUCAGACGGGCAGUUUGACUGGGGCGGUCGCCUCCAAAAAUGUAACGGAGGCGCCCAAAGGUUCCCUCAGAAUGGUUGGAAAUCAUUCGUAGAGUGUAAAGGCAGAAGGGAGCUUGACUGCGAGACCUACAAGUCGAGCAGGGACGAAAGUCGGGCUUAGUGAUCCGGUGGUUCCGCAUGGAAGGGCCAUCGCUCAACGGAUAAAAGCUACCCUGGGGAUAACAGGCUUAUCUCCCCCAAGAGUUCACAUCGACGGGGAGGUUUGGCACCUCGAUGUCGGCUCAUCGCAUCCUGGGGCUGUAGUCGGUCCCAAGGGUUGGGCUGUUCGCCCAUUAAAGCGGUACGCGAGCUGGGUUCAGAACGUCGUGAGACAGUUCGGUCCCUAUCCGUCGCGGGCGUUGGAAAUUUGAGAGGAGCUGUCCUUAGUACGAGAGGACCGGGAUGGACGCACCGCUGGUGUACCAGUUGUUCUGCCAAGAGCAUCGCUGGGUAGCUAUGUGUGGACGGGAUAAACGCUGAAAGCAUCUAAGCGUGAAGCCCCCCUCAAGAUGGGAUUUCCCAUCACUUUAAGUGAGUAAGACCCCUGAGAGAUGAUCAGGUAGAUAGGUUGGGAGUGGAAGUACAGCGAUGUAUGGAGCGGACCAAUACUAAUCGGUCGAGGACUUAAUC
This 1332-nucleotide ribosomal RNA is filed under the name metagenome. RNAcentral's name for it is "bacterial LSU rRNA". It matches the Rfam family "Bacterial large subunit ribosomal RNA", at positions 1581 to 2925 of the family's 2925-position model. The record is from RNAcentral.